This 401-nucleotide ribosomal RNA is filed under the name Priestia flexa. RNAcentral describes it as "bacterial SSU rRNA". It matches the Rfam family "Bacterial small subunit ribosomal RNA", at positions 547 to 948 of the family's 1533-position model. The record is from RNAcentral. Lineage: Bacteria; Bacillati; Bacillota; Bacilli; Caryophanales; Bacillaceae.
GGAUUAUUGGGCGUAAGCGCGCGCAGGCGGUUUCUUAAGUCUGAUGUGAAAGCCCACGGCUCAACCGUGGAGGGUCAUUGGAAACUGGGGAACUUGAGUGCAGAAGAGAAAAGCGGAAUUCCACGUGUAGCGGUGAAAUGCGUAGAGAUGUGGAGGAACACCAGUGGCGAAGGCGGCUUUUUGGUCUGUAACUGACGCUGAGGCGCGAAAGCGUGGGGAGCAAACAGGAUUAGAUACCCUGGUAGUCCACGCCGUAAACGAUGAGUGCUAAGUGUUAGAGGGUUUCCGCCCUUUAGUGCUGCAGCUAACGCAUUAAGCACUCCGCCUGGGGAGUACGGUCGCAAGACUGAAACUCAAAGGAAUUGACGGGGGCCCGCACAAGCGGUGUAGCAUGUGGUUUA